UCCCUGAUAGCUCAGUUGGUAGAGCAAAUGACUGUUAAUCAUUGGGUCCCUGGUUCGAGCCCAGGUCAGGGAGCCA
Molecule: transfer RNA, 76 nt
Filed under: bacterium
Lineage: Bacteria
Also listed under: 2 other names
Description: tRNA-Asn
Rfam family: tRNA
About the family: Transfer RNA (tRNA) molecules are approximately 80 nucleotides in length.
Source: RNAcentral